GACGAACCGUCCAAACGUUGUUCGGAAUCACUGGGCUUAAAGGGCGCGUAGGCGGACUGCCAAGUCCGGGGUGAAAUCUUUCGGCUUAACCGGAAAAGAGCCUUGGAAACUGGCGGUCUCGAGGGAGGUAGGGGCCUGUGGAACUUCGGGUGGAGCGGUGAAAUGCGUUGAUAUCCGAAGGAACGCCGGUGGCGAAAGCGACGGGCUGGAUCUCUUCUGACGCUGAGGCGCGAAAGCCAGGGGAGCAAGCGGG
This 253-nucleotide ribosomal RNA is filed under the name uncultured bacterium. RNAcentral's name for it is "partial 16S ribosomal RNA". It matches the Rfam family "Bacterial small subunit ribosomal RNA", at positions 524 to 776 of the family's 1533-position model. The record is from RNAcentral.